Molecule: long non-coding RNA, 1105 nt
Filed under: Piliocolobus tephrosceles (Ugandan red Colobus)
Lineage: Eukaryota; Metazoa; Chordata; Mammalia; Primates; Cercopithecidae
Description: lncRNA (ENSPTEG00000008333.1)
Source: RNAcentral
AAAAAAAAAAAAAAAAAGGUAUAACUUUUAGUAAAAAUGUCGAAGAAGAUACUGAGAAUGAACCAUUUACAGAUAGUGAUACAAAUAUGCAAAAGGAAACACAUCACAGCGAAACAGAUACAGAUACAGAAAACAAAGAAGAUAAGCUUAGUAAAACGGAUUCGGAAAACGAAAGUGAUUUAGAUACUGAAACAGAUACGGAAACAAAAAAGAUAAAUCAGAUGAUGAAUCUGGUGGGGAAUAUAUUAGUAGCGGAAAUAACAGUUCUAAUAAUAAAAGUGGAAAUAAAAAAAAAUGGAAAUUAUGAAAAUUAUGAAUGUGGUAAUAAUGAUACAGAAACUAAUAAUGAUGAUAAAUAUGACAAUAAAAAUAUGGCGAGGGGAAAUAAAAAUAAUUAUAAUAAACAAAGUGAAAUAAAAAAAUAAUAUACAUUUAUUGAGAGGAGCAAGAACAAAAAAAAAACGAAUGAAAAAAAAAUAUAAAAACCAAGUGGUAGAUGAGCAGGAAAGACAACUUCAUAUGAAAAUAAUUGGAUCUAAAAAGAUGAAACACGAAGAUAAGAUAUUAGAAAAGGAAGAACAAAAUAAGAAUGGACCAGAGACAAAUAACAAAUUUAAGAAUCCCAAGACAGUUCUUAUUAAUUUGGAAGAAAUAAAUGAAGAUGAAAUGGAUAUAAAAAUGAGUGAAUUAAACAAAUUAACAUGUUCACCUAAAGAAGGAGAUAAUCUGUUAUUUGCCAUCCCAAUGUGUGCACCAUAUUCUGCUAUUCAAAAUCAUAAAUAUAAAGUAAAAAUAAUUCCUGGAACUGCGAAAAAAGGGAAAGUUGCUGAUUGUUGUGUUGCUCACUUUUUAAAAAUUUCAAAUGAUGAUAAGGAAAAGGAUUUAAUUAAAAAGAUAUCGAUGGAUGAACUAGUAAAUUGUAUCAUCUCAAAUUCAACUGCAGACAUAAAAGAACUGAAAAUUGCUGCUAAAUCGAAUUUUAUGCAUAAAAGCAAAAAAAAACAAAAAUAUUAAAUAACUAGGCACGAUGAGUUUUUAUACGUGACUUUUUUUUUUGUCGUAUGCUUUUUAUAGGAUUUAUAAUAAAACAUUUUGUAUAUAUACA